CUACAUCUGUGCAGUUGGUAGUGGCAAAAACAGCAAGCCAAUCUAAGAGUCUUAGAUUAUGAUCCCUUAGAAGAUGGAUCACCACUUGGAAAGAGCCACAGUAUUGAGUCUUUGUCCUUGAUCUGCGUGCUGGAAUGGGGCCUCACUCUUCUGUUCUGCCUAUCUGGCCUUCAUCUGGAAUUGCUAGUGUGCAGUAAAGAGCAUGGCUGUGCAUCUGGGAGACUGGAAUGGCCAGGAAGUGUUCAGAAUUUGACCAAGCGCCGGAGUGAAGUGGCCGCUUGAUUAAAGCCCCUGAAACUGCUGUUGUUCUCUCAGCUGCCCAGUGGGAUGAAAGGACCGUGUGUCACUAUGGACACGGCGUGGCAAAGCAAGGAUCCAUAUGCCCUGCAGGAAGUGUGGUGCUUUUCGUUUUCUUUAAACUGAGAGACAAUCUCUUCCUGGCCAGCUGGCAAGCACAGGGAACUGAAUAAGGUUCAUGCCCUACAGUGACUGUAGGCAGGUGCAUCGCUUCCAGGAGGUGGCCUUGGUUCUUCCAUUGCAAGAACAAACAAUUUGAAAAUUAUCCAAAAGUUUGAUUGGUGUCUGGGAGGCAGGAAGCAUUGCCUGAGUAGCUACCUGUCUUACAGCAUGUUCUCCAGAGCUGAUGUUUGGGUCUGAUGAAGGAAGUGCCAUCUGCAUCUGAUGAGACCAACUGAGCUUUUUUGGGAACAUUUUCCAGGAAGAAUUUGUCUCUAGCGCACUGUUCAA
Gallus gallus (chicken) is the source of this 747-nucleotide long non-coding RNA. The record is from Ensembl. Lineage: Eukaryota; Metazoa; Chordata; Aves; Galliformes; Phasianidae.